RNAcentral lists this ribosomal RNA (783 nucleotides) under Septoglomus sp. RNAcentral describes it as "partial large subunit ribosomal RNA". It matches the Rfam family "Eukaryotic large subunit ribosomal RNA", at positions 70 to 694 of the family's 3401-position model. The record is from RNAcentral. Lineage: Eukaryota; Fungi; Glomeromycota; Glomeromycetes; Glomerales; Glomeraceae.
AAUGAUUCCCCUAGUAACGGCGAGUGAAGAGGGAUAAGCUCAAAUUUUAAAUCUGAUCGGUUUUACUUAUCAGAAUUGUAAUUUGAAGAAACGUUUUCUGUGUCUUGAAUUAGCCUAAAUCUUUUGGAACAAGGUAUCAUGGAGGGUGACAAUCCCGUUCAUGGUUAAUUUUAAGGCGCGUUAAGAUACGUUUUCAAAGAGUCGAGUUGUUUGGGAUUGCAGCUCAAAAUGGGAGGUAAAUUUCUCCUAAAGCUAAAUAUUGGCGAGAGACCGAUAGCGAACAAGUACCGUGAGGGAAAGAUGAAAAGAACUUUGAAAAGAGAGUUAAACAGUACGUGAAAUUGUUGAAAGGGAAACGAUUGAAGUCAGUCGUACUAACGGGAAAUCAACCUUUUUGAGUCGUAAAUUUUGGAUUUUGAAGAGUUUUUAAACCUUCGGGUUCAAAUAUUUGCACUUUUUAGGCGUAAUUUCUCGUUCGGUAGGUUAACAUCGAUUUUGAACAUUAUAAAAUGAUCGGAGGAAUGUAGCUUCGAUCUUGUAUUGAAGUGUUAUAGCCUUUGGUAGAUGUAAUGAUCGAGAUCGAGGAUUGCAACGAAUACCCUUUUGGGCUAUCCGUCUGAUCUCUGAUACGUUGCCUCGGUAACGAAAGCGUGCUUUACGGUAUUGAGGUAUUACGGUCAAAAGGUUAGAACGUGAUUACAUUCGUUAAGGAUGUUGACGUAAUGGCUUUAAACGACCCGUCUUGAAACACGGACCAAGGAGUCUAACAUAUGUGCGAGUGUU